GAGUUUGAUCCUGGCUCAGGAUGAACGCUGGCGGCGUGCUUAACACAUGCAAGUCGAACGGGAAACCUUUUAUUGAAACUUCGGCAGAUUUAGCUGGUUUCUAGUGGCGGACGGGUGAGUAACGCGUGGGUAACCUGCCUUAUACAGGGGGAUAACAGUCAGAAAUGGCUGCUAAUACCGCAUAAGCGCACAGAGCUGCAUGGCUCAGUGUGAAAAACUCCGGUGGUAUAAGAUGGACCCGCGUUGGAUUAGCUGGUUGGUGGGGUAACGGCCCACCAAGGCGACGAUCCAUAGCCGGCCUGAGAGGGUGAACGGCCACAUUGGGACUGAGACACGGUCCAGACUCCUACGGGGGGCAGCAGUGGGGAAUAUUGGGCAAUGGGCGCAAGCCUGACCCAGCAACGCCGCGUGAGGGAAGAAGGUUUUCGGAUUGUAAACCUCUGUCGCAGGGGACGAAGGAAGUGACGGUACCCUGUAAGAAAGCACCGGCUAACUACGUGCCAGCCGCCGCGGUAAUAC
RNAcentral lists this ribosomal RNA (519 nucleotides) under uncultured bacterium. RNAcentral's name for it is "bacterial SSU rRNA". It matches the Rfam family "Bacterial small subunit ribosomal RNA", at positions 9 to 526 of the family's 1533-position model. The record is from RNAcentral.